This 29-nucleotide non-coding RNA is filed under the name Homo sapiens (human). Lineage: Eukaryota; Metazoa; Chordata; Mammalia; Primates; Hominidae. The record is from RNAcentral.
UUCCUAUGCUCUUUUCAUGCUGUGUUGGA